This is a long non-coding RNA of Photinus pyralis (common eastern firefly), 2573 nucleotides long. RefSeq lists it as uncharacterized. The record is from RefSeq and is a predicted model, not a curated record. NCBI's taxonomy places the organism in Eukaryota, Metazoa, Arthropoda, Insecta, Coleoptera, Lampyridae. The transcript is spliced from 3 exons.
UAUGUGGUGAAGAUAAAUUUUAGAUAAGUAUCAAAUUUAGCCAAUGUCAAUACACGUGAUCACGUUUGCAUUUUGUAUUUAUUUUAAUGAACCACACCGAUGUUCUAAGUCCAAUAACUUGGCCAGAAAAAUUGAACUUGAUCGAUCACAUGUGUAUUUAUUAGAGUUCAAUCAAAUUAAAUUGGAUUUCAGAUUGUAAGACGAGAUAAGAGACCAAACCUCCGUAAGGUGUGGGAUUUAAAAACAUUUUUAUUACUGGGCUAGCCGUGGGUCAAAUAAAAUCAAUUGCCAUAAUAAAAAAUUUUUCCAGUGCCGACUUCUAAUUGUUCAUUUCAGACGAUAUCUUGUUAAUUGCUAUAGGUUUGAUGGUGAUCAGCAGUGCAGUUAAUUAUAAAAACAUUCGAAAGUGACACUUGGUCAGACUCCUGUCUCUCUCACAACCCUUGGCUUAUAAAAAAAAGCGCGCGCUUUUGAAGAAUUAGUCCAAAACCUUUUCAAUCCCUUCGAAUAAGAAUGAGCCGAGGGUGAAGGGCCUAUAUGCCUUAGUCUGCUCAACAAGGUGACGUGAUCCUUUAGAAAGCAUCACCUCAAUCUCUUCCCACAUUGCUCCUGCGUCUUGUAUUUAUUGUACAAGCUAGGCGUUUCAGCUCGGAGUUUCUGAAGCUCUGCUUUUACCAGUCUUUUUUUUGGGACAGCUGACUCAAUACACCCUGUGCUGUGUAUGAGUUUGUAAAGAUCGGUAGAGACUAUUUUGAAUCUAGCCCAGUUCGUGUAGUGAUAAGCUACAUGAUAACGCCAAACAGAGGUAGGUACUGCCACAUUUUGUUCAAUACUCCUUUGCACGUCACUGACAGAAUAGAACACCAAUUUUUGGUAUAUUUAAUGAGAAAAAUAUUAGAGACUUGUGCCCAGAACAAGUUGAUCUAUGGACUUGUGGUAGGUAAACUUUUGUAGAACUGGAUAUGCUGCGAUCAACGAUGCCAAAGGUUUUUGUUUAAUAUUUGACAUUGACGUUCGAAUUUUUUGUUGGCAGUUCUCACCUUUCGUUAUUCAUUAUCGGUAGUCGCUUUCAACAGAAUUGUGGUGUGUCUGAAGUGCUUUUAGUCGAAAUGCAUAACCAUUUACAUAGUAAAGCUAAGGAAUGGGAGGCUAGUUUCAUCCAUUAUUUUGAAAUGGACUAUGAAGAUUGUGAUCCUUUAUUUCCAUUGGGAAGAUAGAGGAGUGUAUCCUUAUAUAAAAGCAACUUUGUUCAUAUUUUUAUUUUAGCGUUCGUAGACGUUACCAUAGUAUAAUCCUUCAUCACUAGAUACUCAACUCCUUUUGGAAAUACAUACCGAUUUUUUCAGCGUAGCAUUUACGUAUAUGCGUUGUGGUAAUGUCCCAACAACAACUUUUGGUAUCUGAAAAAACCGUAUAUUCGUUUAAAGGGUUCCCUCCUACUGCAUAAAUUUGUUGUUACUAUUUGCCUUAUAACGUGAACUGUUGUUUGGAGAAAACAAAAUGAAACGUGGGUAGAUUUGUUCGUCGUUGGACUCCUUAUCUGUCGCAUUCCUCCAAAUCCCACCCAGAUUUACGCAGGCUCACCAAUAAAGCUCUAACGAGCCUCCGUACGUACAGAGAAUUUUAUAGGGUAGAAAAAAUGCACAAUCUAAAUUAUAUAGAUACGGAAUUAUAAUCUUGUGUGUGUGAAUUUUUGUUUAUGCAUUGUAAGGAAAUCAAUUAUUUCAUUUAUGUAUAACCCGGUUUUUUAUUUAACCGUAAGACACGUUGAUACAGUCACCCGCAGACUGGUAUCUCGGAUACAUCUGUAACAUUGCGUCUUAUGGAGCCGUUCACACACGCAUACUUCUCGCAUACAGUACCGGCGACUAAAUUUCGGUUUCCCGCUAGGUCCAGUCGCCCGGAGAUUUUACGACUUUAGGGAACUGAUGGGCUAUUGGUUCAUAUGGAACUCUUUACAGGAGGGUACCUUUUCAUUAGCAACCGGUCAGUGCUGUUCGUCACCUCCGCCCGAAGAAACAAAAUAGUCAUAAAAUGGAGCGCACCUUUGAUGUAUUAAACCCGCCCGCCACUGCACUGAAAAUCGAAGUACCUCACUGCGUAAGGCUGGAAUUCUGAUGACAAAGAUACAGUAUUUCGCAUACAGUACCACCGUGUAAAAGAGCUCUAAGGAAGCUAAAAGAUGCAAAUAGAGUAAAUAAAUAAAUACUGCACUAUGUGUGCAUAUUUAGGGUGAGAUAAAUGAAUCAGAUCAUUGUAAUAAGGUAAGAACAAAGAGAUCCGAGUUAAAUACGUCUAUCGCAACCCAAAGUUAAAUGACAAAUAAUGAGACAGGAGGCUUUAAGCGGCGUUACAUGGGGCGAACCUGCGCCGCGUUGUCGCAAAGCGCGAGGUGCAAUUUUAAGUCAAUCAGUCCUCUGAAUGGAUCCCGAAGACUGAAAUUAAUCCAAUAGCGAAAAUCAUAUCGAUCGAGCCACCGUCAUGCUGCGGACGAAGGUUUUCGCAGCAUUUCGAAGAAAGAAAACAAGAAGCUUGAACAUAUCCACGGCGUACCAGGAUGCCAGAAGCGGCGU